RNAcentral lists this small nuclear RNA (107 nucleotides) under Procavia capensis (Cape rock hyrax). Lineage: Eukaryota; Metazoa; Chordata; Mammalia; Hyracoidea; Procaviidae. The record is from RNAcentral.
GCACUCACUUUAGCAGCACAUGUACUAAAACUGGAACAAUACAGAGAAUAUUAGCACAGGUCCUGUAAAAGGAUGACAUACAAAUUCAUGAAGAAUUCCUUAUUUUU